This 468-nucleotide ribosomal RNA is filed under the name uncultured bacterium. Its description in RNAcentral is "partial 16S ribosomal RNA". It matches the Rfam family "Bacterial small subunit ribosomal RNA", at positions 28 to 507 of the family's 1533-position model. The record is from RNAcentral.
GACGAACGCUGGCGGCGUGCUUAACACAUGCAAGUCGAACGGAAAGGCCCUGCUUUUGUGGGGUGCUCGAGUGGCGAACGGGUGAGUAACACGUGAGUAACCUGCCCUUGACUUUGGGAUAACUUCAGGAAACUGGGGCUAAUACCGGAUAGGAGCUCCUGCUGCAUGGUGGGGGUUGGAAAGUUUCGGCGGUUGGGGAUGGACUCGCGGCUUAUCAGCUUGUUGGUGGGGUAGUGGCUUACCAAGGCUUUGACGGGUAGCCGGCCUGGGAGGGUGACCGGCGACAUUGGGACUAAGAGACGGACCAGACUCCUACGGGAGGCAGCAGUGGGGAAUAUUGCACAAUGGGCGGAAGCCUGAUACAGCAACGCCGCGUGCGGGAUGACGGCCUUCGGGGUGUAAACCGCUUUCGCCUGUGACGAAGCGUGAGUGACGGUAAUGGGUAAAGAAGCACCGGCUAACUACGUG